Non-coding RNA from Macaca mulatta (Rhesus monkey), 2357 nucleotides. NCBI's taxonomy places the organism in Eukaryota, Metazoa, Chordata, Mammalia, Primates, Cercopithecidae. The record is from RefSeq and is a predicted model, not a curated record.
AAAUAAAGGAUGUUUUGUCAGUUUACUCAUUUAAUAUUUUAUCUUUUAUGCUUUUCGAGAGUAACAUACAUUCAAGAAGUAAAAAGCACAAGUCGACAGCUUGAUUAAUAUUUACAUAUUUAAUCGCAAACUAGAAAAUGAUAUAGAGUAUUUCACCCAAGAAUGUUCCUUUAUGUUCGGUUUUAGUCAACAUCCACAUCUGCCCCACUUUGGAAAGCUUUCUUUCACUUUCUAGCACCAUCAAUUAGUUUUGCCUAUUCUUGAACAUAAUCUUUACUAAGACAGAGAAAGCUGUGUUAGUCCUCAAGUUCUCAUCACAGAACAAUUUAUUAUCAGUUAUACUUAAUCACAAGCUUCUCUAGUAAAACGUAUGGCAGUGCUACUCCAGCAAUAGCACUGACAGAGUAAAAUGUCAGAUCAUAACACCUGUAUGCCUAUAUAUUUUGCUCCAUGGAGCACUGUAAUUUGUGCACAAAGAAGCAAAAGGAAAAAACAAACUUUGGAGAAAGUUGUAGCUUUCAUAGGACAAACAGACAAAUGAUUAUUGGUGGAAUAUGCCCAACUAUGAAGAAGUUCACUUUGUGUGAUUUAUAGGACAUUACUCUCAGAGAGGGAUUUUCUCGUCUUCAUUUACUCACAGAAUCCUUGGGAAAAAAAUCAAGGAGCCUGCCUUUAUAAAUGCUUUGUGUAUAUAUACUUUGGAUUAAAAUAUAUAAGGAGUUAUGCUGGAGCUUUCAUUUACAAGCAGAGAUGGAAAAGGCAACCUUCAACCUGCUCAAGACUAUGGAAAUGAUGUUGGACAAAAAGCAAAUUUGAGCAUUUUUCUUAUUCGAGUUCAAAAUGGGUCGUAAAGCAGCAGAGACAACUCACAACAUCAAAAACACAUUUGGCCCAGGACCUCCUAACAAAGGCUGAAAUGGAAUGAAAGAGCAUGAAUUGAAUAUUUCGUGCUGUGCAGGUAUGUAUAAUUCAUAAUCAACUUCUUCAAAAAGAAAUAGAUAAGAAGUACUGAAAGCUAUAAAUGAAAUAUUUCUAUACUUAACAGAUACACUGCAUAAAGAUCUUUUAAGGUUUAUCUGCACUGAUGCCGAAAAAUUACAAAAAUAACAAGCCACUAAGUAUGAAUCAGACAGAGAGAGAAAUAGAAAAGAGUUAAACAGAACAAUGGAUAGCUGUCCAUAUAAAACAUAGAAGUAGUUUUCUCUCAAGUAACAAAAUGUUAGCAAAGUUUGUAGCAAGAUAUUUGAGUCAAUUACUCACUUCUUCCCUUUUUUCUUGUGAAUGCAAUGUGAAUGGUAAAGUUAUUAAAAGAGGAUAUUUCAAAAUUCCUCUUAAAAUGUUAAAUUAAAGAUAACUAUGGUCAGUUCCUUCCCUCACUCAAGUGUUCAUUCAUUUAUUAAUUCCACAAAUCUUUAUCGAGCAGCCACCAUUUAUCAGUGUUUAUAAAUGGAAUGACCAUGUAAUUUAUAAUCCAAACUAAGACAAGUUUCAGUGUAAAGAGGAGACAAACAUAGAAUAUUUUGGCGACAGUUCAAAAGUAAAACUGGCUCUUGCAAAACAGGCUUAUAUGAACACCCCCUUAUAAAACUUGCUCUUUGAACUUAAGGACUUCAUAGCGUAUCAUUUUAUACUCGAAAAGGAACAUAAAACUCUAACGCGGUAUGACAACCACAAGAGCACCUCCAGGAUGAUAGAAAUGUGUGUAGGAUGAAACUGACCUAGUUAAGAUCAUGAGAAGAUUUUUAGAGAAAGUAACUUUAAGCUGAGGAAAAGAAAAUAUUGGUUAUAUUUCAACUGUGUAAUAAUUACAGAUUGGACUUAGUAAAACACUAAAAAUAAAUUUGAAUCCUCUAACCAAAUAAAUCAUUCAGCAUAGGAAAAGAUUAUACAUUAUCUUCAUGAAAACAAAAUGAAGUUUGUGUGUUUGUGUGCUCCAAAUCAUAGAGUAGGUAGAAAUACCCAGUCUGAGGCCUAGAUCUGAAUUAUUAAAGAAAACUGCUAAAGUACCAUAACAAUUCUGUUAUCCUAAUAAAAUUGUUCAAUUCUGAAUAAUAUCAUAAGCUACAAAAUGGUGUUCCCACUUAUAAACACAGCAGAAUAGUUCUGCUGUAUACAUACAUCUAAACAUUUAAAAAGGAGUUCUUGCUAAAAGUUCACUAAAAAUAUUUUACAACACUCAUAACUGUUCUCUCAAGAUUUUUAUUUGGUGGUAUUUUAUAUAUCUUAACGAGUUAUUAGAAAUAAAAAAUAAAUUUAAUGUUAAGAUUGAGAACUGGAUAUUUACUGAGAAAUCUGUUCUUAUUGUACAGAAGAAAAGUUAAGCUGCUUCAUACAAGGUAGCAAUACUAAUUAUGAUC